UACGGAGGGUGCAAGCGUUGUCCGGAAUCAUUGGGCGUAAAGCGUUCGCAGGCGGCAUAUCAAGUCUGGUGUUAAAGGCAGAUGCUCAACAUCUGUAGGGCACUGGAUACUGGUAAGCUUGAAUGCGGUAGAGGUUAAGGGAAUUCCUGGUGUAACGGUGAAAUGCGUAGAUAUCAGGAGGAACAUCGGUGGCGUAAGCGCUUAACUGGGCCGUAAUUGACGCUGAGGAACGAAAGCCAGGGUAGCAAAC
Molecule: ribosomal RNA, 250 nt
Filed under: uncultured prokaryote
Description: partial 16S ribosomal RNA
Rfam family: Bacterial small subunit ribosomal RNA
Source: RNAcentral